RNAcentral lists this ribosomal RNA (253 nucleotides) under uncultured bacterium. RNAcentral describes it as "partial 16S ribosomal RNA". It matches the Rfam family "Bacterial small subunit ribosomal RNA", at positions 524 to 776 of the family's 1533-position model. The record is from RNAcentral.
UACGUAUGGAGCAAGCGUUAUCCGGAUUUACUGGGUGUAAAGGGAGCGCAGGCGGCUUUGCAAGUCUGAUGUGAAAGGCCGGGGCUCAACCCCGGGACUGCAUUGGAAACUGUAAAGCUAGAGUGCCGGAGAGGUAAGCGGAAUUCCUAGUGUAGCGGUGAAAUGCGUAGAUAUUAGGAGGAACACCAGUGGCGAAGGCGGCUUACUGGACGGCAACUGACGCUGAGGCUCGAAGGCGUGGGGAGCAAACAGG